This 270-nucleotide long non-coding RNA is filed under the name Phascolarctos cinereus (koala). RNAcentral's name for it is "lncRNA (ENSPCIG00000032574.1)". Lineage: Eukaryota; Metazoa; Chordata; Mammalia; Diprotodontia; Phascolarctidae. The record is from RNAcentral.
GCUUGGCACUUCGCAAAUAUUUUCAGUCGUGGGAGAGCAGCCCUUUAUUUCAGUAGAGAAAGGAGGCUCCAGCCACACUUCAAAGAGAGGCUGAGGUUGGAGACCCUCCGACUGAAGGGUGGGGUAGGAGGGGAAAUCUGCACCCUCUGGAUGGAUGCCCCAGGAUGCUGAAGAGGAUCCUUCCCAUGGGCAUCUCUGGACCCUCCCAUGAGGAUAAUAUUAACUCACUGAUUGCAUGGCAUAUUUUUGGACCCAUUCACAGAAAAGAAG